RNAcentral lists this ribosomal RNA (939 nucleotides) under Mathevotaenia symmetrica. RNAcentral's name for it is "partial large subunit ribosomal RNA". The record is from RNAcentral. Lineage: Eukaryota; Metazoa; Platyhelminthes; Cestoda; Cyclophyllidea; Anoplocephalidae.
GAGCCGCAUGCAGGUAAACGGGUGGCGUCAAGCUGCGAGCCCGGAGGAUUCAGCUGGCUAGGUUGUAGAGUACGUGCCUGGCGCGUCAAUUGGCCGGAGUAGAAUGUGUUGGUCUGUCCCUCUCUUAGGGAUGGGGCAUGGCUGUGGUGGUGUCGGUGGAUGGUGUGCGUGUUAGUAGUGGAUCUGGAGGGGGUAGUAAGAUUAAGCAGGUUGGCCUCGGCCCGCUUGCUUGGUUUGCUCUCUCUUCUCCCAUUACUCGCGUACAUUGUUAGCUGGCGUGGCUGCCGCGGUUAAUGCUAUGCGUGCCGGGUGGGUGCCGGUGCAUGCCACACGUCUGUGGGGCCGCCUGGUCAGUGCACUUUCUCCGUGGUGAACACCACGACCGGUGGUAUUGCCAGUCUGCCGUGGUCAAGUCGCGUCCACCUGGCAGCCCGUAUGUUAGUUGGCUGAUUGCCUUGUGUAAUUGGUCUACCGAUAGACGGGUCAGGUGGGUGCGAUCGCAGGUGGAGCGGGUGAACGGCGUAGCGGUGCUUCGGUGUCGCUGCGUGUUAUCGUGCACUCACCAUCGACCAACGAGUUGUCGUGCUGUGCUGCGCUGUGACCGCGCCGACUGUCGACAGCUCGGCGGACCGCGGUAGUGAAAGUGACUGUGCAAGGCACCGAGUGUGUCCACCUCAUCUGUCUGUGUGUGCAUGCUGCUGUUUCGGUAGUAUGCACACAGGGAUUGACAUGGUAUCCGGCACGCAUGUCACAGGUGCCAGUGUUGUAGUAAGACAGAGCGAGGCGCGUCGCUGUCUGUGGGCGUUGGGUGUGAUUGUCGUGUCGCCUGCAAAAAGUAGGUCCGGCAGUGAUCUAACGUCAUUACAGUGGGCAGUGUAUUACGUUGCUUCGAGUGCAUGUGAUACCGGGGGUGCAAUAGUCAGUGGUGCUGUGGUAGAC